UUGAUCUCGGAUCAGGUAGGAAUACCCGCUGAACUUAAGCAUAUCAAUCA
Molecule: ribosomal RNA, 50 nt
Filed under: cf. Cytospora sp. CML 1841
Lineage: Eukaryota; Fungi; Ascomycota; Sordariomycetes; Diaporthales; Cytosporaceae
Description: partial 28S ribosomal RNA
Source: RNAcentral